UAAAAGAAGGAAAAAAAAAAAAAAGGGAACCAUUGAAUUUUCUUCAAAGUCUAGAUCGUAGUUCUUCUCUAACUUUCAACGAGGUUUCGCUUUGAAGUCUGUACUAGUGGAACGACUCAAGGUCUUCCACUCAAAACAAAGAUGUCCAAGUGAAGUGGGCUCUUACCAUUGACAUGCAAGGGGCACAACCAUCAUUAAGUAUGCAUGCCAAUGAAAAGUAAAUCAGUCAAUUCCUUCUUUGCUGAUUAGUACGAGGCAAAUAAUGGAGCCACAUUGAAAAGUAAAUCAGUCAAUUCCUUCUAAGCGCUUGUGGCACAGUCAGCUUUUCAGUUUUCACUAAUGUGAGCUCUACAUUGGAUUCACGAGCAAAUUUGUCGUUUCACGGUUUCACCUACGCUGUAUCGUGUUUUGUCUUUGACUUUAUUGAACUCCACAAGCAAAUUUAUUUUUUUCAUCUAGUCAUAUAUUUUUACACGUAAGUCAUUUAAAAGAGUGUUAUAACAUUAGUUUUUUUUUUUUUAGCUAUGAAAUUAGUCACGUAAAUGAGUGUUUUACAAAAAAAAAUAUAUCUUUUAGAUUACUGGCAUAAAAGAGUGUUAUAAUAUUAGUCACGUAACACUACUUAAACCAACAUAUGACAAGUGCAUAAAAAUUUACCACGUUGAGUGCCUAAGUAGGUGGCAUGCCAAUUUCAAUUUGAAUUUGAAGUUCUAACAUGCCAAUUUGAAGGUGCUUUACAAAUUUUCUUGGAGAUGCUCUUACAACUAUCUUUUCUAUAAUUUUAUUUUCUUCUUAAGUGGCAUCACUCAUCUUUGGUGCAUCCAAUGGAACCCAGUGGAUCUAUAUCCUCCAUCCAUUAAAGUGGUGGUUCAGAUGUUGAAAGGAGAGAACUUAACCAUGCCUCCCAAUUCUUGUGCCUCUACAGGUCUUGCACGAACAAAUAAAAGUCCGCCUGCAGUCCCGGUACAUUAGGCUUUCAUGACUGCCGUGGUGUUUAGGGUUAACUAAAAAAUUUCCAAGCGAAUGGAACCACACACACAAAUUCACAAUAAGCUUGCCAAUCCACCGGUGAAGGAGCAGGCGAAGCGUGUUGUUCGUAAUGGACAGAAAGAUACCACCACUUCGCCUCUUUGUUGGACCAAAAAAGCAACAGAUGAGAGAUACGCAAAGCAGCUUCAAAGAAAGCACUAUUACUACUGCUUUAGUUAUGUGCUAAGUUGCACGCGCAAACACUUCAAUACAUUAGCGUAUCACGUAUCAGAUACAAAAACAAAUACAACACUUCGUAGCCACUCUUACGUGUGUGUCAUUGACUUUGAUUGGCGGACACUCCUUGGGGCACUUUUGAAAUUGAAUCAAAAUUUUAGGGUAAACUUGAAAAAUGAAAAAUAUUGUUUUAGGGAUAAUAUGAAAAUUAGAUUUAGAAGUACUGUUAGAGAACGCAAAUUUCUCUCUUGACGAGAUGACAUGAAUAUUAUUGAUGACCGAAUUGUACGUGAAGCCGCUCUAGUACGUAGUCAAUUGCAAUUUGGCCCAUUUUUCUUCAGCGUGUCUGAAAAUCUUAUUGUGGUCCUGUAAUCACGUGCACAAAAAUUAGUAAAAGAAAAAUAAAAGAGGAGGUGUGUUAUCCACU
Long non-coding RNA from Pyrus x bretschneideri (Chinese white pear), 1633 nucleotides. RefSeq lists it as uncharacterized. The record is from RefSeq and is a predicted model, not a curated record. Lineage: Eukaryota; Viridiplantae; Streptophyta; Magnoliopsida; Rosales; Rosaceae. The transcript is spliced from 2 exons.